GAUAGGUGUCCGAGACGGGACCAUUUUGUUCGGCAGGGGUGCUGAGUCUCACGUCGCAAACGGGAAGAGGAAAACACCGGCAAACGCUUCUGCUGUGGAGGAUGAACGGGCUUACCAAGCGGACUCUGCAGGCUUGUCAAACGAACAAGCACAGGAUACCAGUCCAAUAGAAGCGUCAUGGAAGCGCAUGGCACCUUCCCUGCAGUGCGGCGGGGACCAGAUGAAGUUCAGAGCGGUGGGACCUGGAGCUUCGAAGUUUGCAGUGGAUCAAGGAAAUGCACCCCCAAUGCCUCUGUCCCAGGUCCCCUCCAACUGUGGCUACACCAUGCAGAGGAACUCUCUUGCACUUGUGAUGCUGGUUCCAUAUGAUGGCUGCAAUAUCGUUCAAGAGG
Pleuronectes platessa (European plaice) is the source of this 392-nucleotide long non-coding RNA. RefSeq lists it as uncharacterized. The record is from RefSeq and is a predicted model, not a curated record. The transcript is spliced from 3 exons. Lineage: Eukaryota; Metazoa; Chordata; Actinopteri; Pleuronectiformes; Pleuronectidae.